Nelumbo nucifera (sacred lotus) is the source of this 1095-nucleotide long non-coding RNA. RefSeq lists it as uncharacterized. NCBI's taxonomy places the organism in Eukaryota, Viridiplantae, Streptophyta, Magnoliopsida, Proteales, Nelumbonaceae. The record is from RefSeq and is a predicted model, not a curated record.
CAUUAACCCAACUAAUAUUUUUACCUAAAAGAAAUUAUUUUCCCCUUCCCAACAACCCUAAUAGUGUUUCAUUCUCUCCAUUCAUUCUUUACAGGUAUUGUUCCAAGAAAAUUCACAGGCAACCAGCAACCAGUAACCGGCGACACGCUCACCGGCAUCUUAUUCUCUCUGUACUCCAUCAGUUAACCUUCUUCUUCUAUUCUCCACAACGUCCUGUUCCAAGAGAUUCCACCUACAUCCGACAUCCAGCAAUUGAGGACGUGCUCACCGACAUCCUAUUCUAUGCAUACUCCUCCUCCAUCGCUUAGCCUUGUUUUUCUUAUCUCCAACAGUAGUGUGUCCCCUUUCCAAGAACCCUAAUAGUGUCUUGUUCUCUCCAUUCAUUCUCUAUAGCAUACUAUUCUAAUAAACUUCACAGGAAACCGACAACCAGCAUCUUAUUCUCUCUGUACUCCAUUGGUUAACCUUCUUCUAUUCCAUAACAUCCUGUUCCAAGUGAUUCCACCGACAUCCGACAUCCGGCAACUGGCAACCAGCAAUCAAGGACGUGCUCACUGAUACACCGGUGGUUAAGUAACCUCAACUAAUACAAGAAAAAAUUGAGCAUUAUUUUCUUAUAGUUCUUCCAACCAGGACUUAAAGCUAUGAUAUGGUCGAGAUCCUACAAUUGAUCCGUUUAGUGGAGUUUGAGCAAAGAGUUUUAUUACAUGGAUUGUCACUACGUUUUCCCAAGACUUGCUUCCUAAUUACUUCAUUAGGAGUUCAAGCUUCAUAAGGAAACUCAACACCAUUCUGUCAAUUGAAGAGGAAUGUGCAUCAAUGCACGACAAGCUAACUUGAUGGAAGCAAAAGCAAUAGAAACCAAAGUUUAUGGCAUUGGAAGCAAAAGCGGAUGGGAUACAAUGAGCACAAGGGCGCACUCGAAGAAUGACGCUCUUGACUUUGUUCUUUUUUUGUGUAACCUUUAUGUGUUUAAAGGUUGUGUUGUGUAAUGAUACUUAACUUGCUUUUGAAACCACUAUAUUUAUAGGGGUUUUUUUUUGUUAUUUUUUAAACUAGAAAAUCAAUUUUCAAAUGGUCAUGUGUUUCUCUCUU